ACGGGUUACCCGCGAGCUGGGCCAAAAUACCUGGGCUCCUGUAACCAAGGCCAGAAGAGCAAGAGGGUCCUGGGGGAUGAAGGGGCCUCCCCACCACCCUCGUGGAGUGGAUUUUUGAUGGGAGAACACGGAGCCGACCAGUGAAAACAAUGAAGAGCCACGUUCUCGGUUGCAGGCCGGGUUCCCAGGGAAGCAGUGUCUGAGAGGUCUAUUUGUGUGCAGGAGAUAUUGUUGUUCUGGAGCAGCCGAAGGACCACAUGACCCAGAAGAAGGCCAAGACCAGGGUUUUAAUCUUAGGGCGAGGACAUCAACUCGUUCUCCUCCGCAAAACGGAAAUAACACAGAAUGAGGUUCAUCAUCAGUUCAAAGAACGAUAUGGGGACGUUCAGCCUGGGGUUGUCUACAGAAGACACCGGACUGGCCGUGGACCGUUAUCAAUGGAACGAAGCACCCGACACACAGAAGGGAGGCCGAUCACACAGGGAAGGCUGGCUGCCAGAACGGACCCCAGCUGGGCAUCAGACGCCAUCCACUACCAGAGUCACAUCACCCCCAGGCCCACUUGGCCAGACCCUCAGCCUUGGCAGUCGCUCGUCAG
Molecule: long non-coding RNA, 598 nt
Organism: Lynx canadensis (Canada lynx)
Lineage: Eukaryota; Metazoa; Chordata; Mammalia; Carnivora; Felidae
Exons: 5
Source: RefSeq, a predicted model, not a curated record